This 483-nucleotide ribosomal RNA is filed under the name uncultured bacterium. Its description in RNAcentral is "partial 16S ribosomal RNA". It matches the Rfam family "Bacterial small subunit ribosomal RNA", at positions 29 to 506 of the family's 1533-position model. The record is from RNAcentral.
AUUGAACGCUGGCGGCAGGCCUAACACAUGCAAGUCGAGCGGAUGAAGGGAGCUUGCUCCUGGAUUCAGCGGCGGACGGGUGAGUAAUGCCUAGGAAUCUGCCUGGUAGUGGGGGAUAACGUCCGGAAACGGGCGCUAAUACCGCAUACGUCCUGAGGGAGAAAGUGGGGGAUCUUUGGACCUCACGCUAUCAGAUGAGCCUAGGUCGGAUUAGCUAGUUGGUGGGGUAAAGGCCUACCAAGGCGACGAUCCGUAACUGGUCUGAGGGGAUGAUCAGUCACACGGAACCUGAGACACGGUCCAGACUCCAACGGGAGGCAGCAGGGGGAAAUAUUGGACAUGGGGGGAAAGCCUGAGCCAGCCAGGCGGCGUGUGUGAAGAAGGUCUUCGGAUGGUAAAGCACGUUAAGUGGGGAGGAAGGGCAGUAAGUUAAUACCGUGCUGUUUUAACGUUACCAACAGAAUAAGCACCGGCUAACUUCGG